This 264-nucleotide ribosomal RNA is filed under the name uncultured Actinomycetes bacterium. Its description in RNAcentral is "uncultured actinobacterium partial 16S ribosomal RNA". It matches the Rfam family "Bacterial small subunit ribosomal RNA", at positions 1007 to 1262 of the family's 1533-position model. The record is from RNAcentral. Lineage: Bacteria; Bacillati; Actinomycetota; Actinomycetes.
AGAUACGGCCCCCCUUGUGGUCGGGUGACAGGUGGUGCAUGGCUGUCGUCAGCUCGUGUCGUGAGAUGUUGGGUUAAGUCCCGCAACGAGCGCAACCCUUGUUCUGUGUUGCCAGCAUGCCCUUCGGGGUGAUGGGGACUCACAGGAGACUGCCGGGGUCAACUCGGAGGAAGAGUGGGGACGACGUCAAGUCAUCAUGCCCCUUAUGUCUUGGGCUGCACACGUGCUACAAUGGCAGGUACAAUGAGCUGCGAAGCCGCAAGG